ACCCCCAGUUUCUCACUCCCUCCAUGAGGCUCUCUUUGAUUUCCAAAGUUCUCCUUUUCUCAAUGGCCACAAGGGGCAAGAGGCCUGGAUGAAGAAAUACCCUCAGAAACUCCCACUCUUCUGGUUCCUGCUGAAGACUCCACUAAUAAAAGUUAUUCAUACCUACCUCCACCAUCUUGGCUGGGAAGUCAAGGAAGAAGGUAGCAGCCCUCAACCCGGAAGAGGGCCCUCACUAGAACCUACCAUGCUGGCACCCAGACCUCAGACUUCCAGCCUCCGGAAAUAUGGUGUCUCCGUUGCCUGGCUGGAGUACAGUGGCGCGAUCUCGGCUCACUGCAACCUCUGCCUCCCAGAUUCAAGUGAUUCUCCUGCCUCAGCCUCCCGAGGAGCUGGGAUUACAGGCACCCGCCACCACGCCCGGCUAAUUUUUGUAUUUUUAGUAGAGAUGAGCUCUUAAUCUUCCCACUUCAUUAUGUUAUCUUUCUCCAGAAAAAGCUUAAAUCCUCUCUGAUGGUCUUCUAUAUCCCUAGUAUAGUGCUUACAGUAAAUAUUUGCCUUUUCUUUUUUACUAGCCAACAUCACGUAUCCUUCCUUUGUGGCGAGAAAUCCCCAUUGUGUCGGUCUUGGUUUGUCAUAGUGAAAUCAUGUCGUUUCAUAUUCCUUCUUCCCAGUCUAGGCAGCUAGGGUGAGGGCAUGGGAUCUGAGUCAACUCGAUGCCCCUUUCCUAGACUUUGAAACUUGAGAAUGUAGUGCAAAGAUGCAGGGUCAGGUGGCAACAUGAGUCAUCUGGCAAUGCUGGUGGAGAGCAUCUAGCAGGGCAAUGGCAGCAGUGGCACCCUGACCGGAAGUGCCUGCAGUAUGACCUUGGAUAUAUUCCUAGAAUCCUCCACUUUUCUUGGCCUGGUUUCCAUCAUUGCCAAAUAUUCUGUGACCCAAAAAAGUUGAGGGAGCACCUUCAGCUCCAAUUAUGUACUCUUGCUGAGAAAAAUUGUGUAAGACUUCGGAAUGUGGGAAAAAAAAGAUUACUUUUUUCUCUGAAGAUUUAUUUUCUUUUCUAGAAUGUUCUAUAUAGCAUACUCUUCCCAUGAUAUUGCUACUUUUUAUUGUAUUUCAACUAUUUUACAACUCUAUAAUUUGUAGAAAGCCAAAAAUAAUACAAAUGUUUCUUGUCCAUACAAAUGCAAAUUAGUUGUAUUGGAAUGCAAUUGAUUAUCACCUGUGGAUAGAUCAAUGUUAUAUAUGCCUUCAAAUUCAUGUAAGCUUUUUUUUUUUUUUUUUUGAGACACCAUCUGGCUCUGUCACCCAGGCUGGAGUGCAGUGGCCUGGUCACAGUUCACUGCAGCUUCAACUUCCCUGGCUCAAGUGAUCCUCCCUCCUCACCCUACAGGCAUGCACCACCGUGCCCAGGAGCUCCCUCUGCUGCAGGAACUCAACGGUAGGGAGGAAGAGUCCAAAAGAGUAGGGCUGUCAGCACCCCUGUGAGCAGCCGACGAUCCACGGCGGAUGGAGUUUGGUGGUAAAGGUACUCACUUCCUGUCUCUCUGGUGAUGAUUUUGAGCAUGUUCUACAAAGUCUUUCAGAUGGUCCCAGUAGGUUGGAGCCCAGCUGCCCUCAGUGGUAACCUGCCCAUUAACGUAUCCUGUGUUGGUUUCCUUUCCUUCCCUACCUCACCUCCCCACUCCCCUUUCUAUGAUUCCUAGAGUCACCUCCCAAAUAAACCUUCACAUUUACA
Pan troglodytes (chimpanzee) is the source of this 1732-nucleotide long non-coding RNA. RefSeq lists it as uncharacterized. Lineage: Eukaryota; Metazoa; Chordata; Mammalia; Primates; Hominidae. The record is from RefSeq and is a predicted model, not a curated record. The transcript has 4 exons.